Dama dama (fallow deer) is the source of this 103-nucleotide small nuclear RNA. The record is from RefSeq and is a predicted model, not a curated record. NCBI's taxonomy places the organism in Eukaryota, Metazoa, Chordata, Mammalia, Artiodactyla, Cervidae.
GUGCUCGCUUCGGCAGCACAUAUACUAAAAUUAGAACGAUACAGAGAAGAUUACCAUGGCCCCUGUGCAAGGAUGACACGCUAAAGAAGUCGAUACUUUGUUU